RNAcentral lists this long non-coding RNA (33406 nucleotides) under Citrus sinensis (sweet orange). Its description in RNAcentral is "long non-coding RNA (CSIN_LNC000495)". The record is from RNAcentral. Lineage: Eukaryota; Viridiplantae; Streptophyta; Magnoliopsida; Sapindales; Rutaceae.
AAAUCUGAUAUGUCGGCCAUAUGUGUAUGACCACUCGUUAGUAAAUAAUAUAUGUGAUAUGUCGAUCAUAUUCAUGUGACAUGUCGAUUAUAUUCAUGUGACAUAUCGGUUAUAUGAGUAUGACAUAUUGUUUGGACAGAAUUUCCAGCGUAUGACAGAAAACUCAUGUCAUCUGAGACAAUUAAGGAUCCUGAUCGGGACAAAAUCGAGACACAUUUUUAUGUCAAUUUAAUGUUCAAGACAAGUUCAAGAUCGGCAAAUCUUGACCUGACUCGUCCUGUCCCAUUACCUACCCUAUUAAUGAUUAUCAAAUGAUUAAUUAUUAUAUAUUAAUAAUCGUGUAUUUAUUACAUAAAUAUUAAUUUGUACGAAGUUGUUAUUUAAUGACGAGAUAGCAAACAAAUACAAAUACUGCCUGCUGCUGGUGGAGCUGGUAUAUAUUAUAUUGCUUAAGCAGCCAAAUUUCCGAUAAGAACAUGUUACAUGCUAGCCGUUCGAUUGUUGUUGAAUUCGUGAUAGUGACCCACGUUGCAUGUGGGACCACCCACGAGGUCGGUUACGAUAUUCGGCUUCGGUUUGAGCAAAGGAAAAUUGCUGAGCUCCCCUACCUGUCCAACCAUAUACCUAACCCCAACAAAUAAUUUUCCUUCACUUCAUAAUUUAUUGGCCCUCUCUGAUUUCUAAAAGCCCCCAAACGAAACGGGGCGUUUUAAUAGCUCAACCAACCCAAUUUGUUACCAUUUAUGUUAGGAGUGGGACUAUUGGCACCCCUCUAAAUACCUCUUAACACCCUUUUAAUUAUUUUACAAUUUUAACAUUUAUUAAAAUUACAUAAUAAGACAAUUUCGAAUUAAACCCCCACUCAAAAUCAAAUAAUUUUUUCCCCUUAAAAAUUCCUUAUUGCUAUUAGAUUUGUUAAUAGAAUCAUUGCUAUUAUCAAUUUGUCAUUGACAUAAAAUCAUUCAUUCCUCUUAGAUUUGUUUCAUUAUCAUGCUCUUCACAUAAAAUCAUUGCUAUUAUAUUUGUUAAUAGAAGUCAUUUCAUAGAGGCAUUUAAAACUUUGGAAAUUCAAAUUAUGCUACAAUAUCUUUAUUAUUGGACUAAUUUUUCUAUGGCUUUUUUCUGCAGGUGUUCAUGCUUCCAGCUUCACUUAUUCCUCUUAUUCCGAAUGGUUGGAUGAAGUAUCAUAAACUAUGUGCAGAAGGCAGGGCAACACCAUACGAAACUAAUAUAAGUGCUUUUAAGGAUUUGGUGUUUGAAGUUACCACACCAGAAAUAAUUGAUCUAGCUAGUCAAUGACAAUAUUAGACAAUUUUAUACUAAUAAAUUAAACAAGGGAUCAAAAAUUAAAUUUUAUCCACAAUCAAGGGAUCAAAAAUUAAACAAUGGGGUUUAUACUAAUAAAUUUAAAUUAAGGGUAUUUUUGUCAUUAAAGGGGUGUUAAAAGAAUUUUAUAAUAUUUUUAAAUAUUUUAAUGGGGUUAAUAAAGAAAAGAGGUGUUGAGAGAUAUUUAAAGGGGUGCCAAUAGUCCCACUCUUAUGUUAGGGGUGUUUUAAGAUCCAAUUCAAUCAAUUGAUCCAAUCAAAAUCAAUCCAAUUUUUAUUGAAUUGAGCUUUUGAUUGGAUUGAAUUGGACUUCAAAGUUGAAAUCCAAUAUUAUUUAAUUGGUCUAUGAAUCCAUGUAUCCAAAAUCAAUAUAAAACAAUCCAACAUAUUAAUUUUAUUUUCUUUAUUUACUUUUUAAAAUAUAAUUUUCCUAAAAAAAGUAAAACCUAAUUUUUUAUUGGGCAAGACUUGAACCCUUAAAGUUACUUUAUAAACUCUUAUUUUUAAGUAAAAUAUUUUUUUUCUUAAAUACACCAAUGUAAAAUUACUUAAAAGGAUAAGACAACUUAAAAAAAAUAAAAUAAAGACUAGCUUUACACCCACCUUUUUAGUUUUUACAAACCCUCAAAAUUAUCUUAUUGCUAAAAAUGCCAUGAAUGAUUACGAAUUUUCAUUUGUUGCAAACUUUAAACUUGCUUUGCUGUUGAAAAUUAGUGGCGUAAAUCACCAAUAAUUUCAAAUCGUGUUUAGUUGCUCGUUGUUGUAAGUACGAAAGUUGACGGGAAAAAAAAAUUUUCAUACCAUGAAUUUGCAGUCAAAGAAAUUUAUGUGUUUUUCUUUUAUUUUUUAUGAACCAUUGAAAAUUUUACCGUCACUUGACCAAUGAUGGGUUUUCACUCUUCAAGUAUACAUAUAAGGGUAUAUUUGACAUAUAGGUAGGUGGGUUUAUUGAGUAAAAUAUAUAUUUUUAAACUUUUUUUAUGAAUUUGUUGAGCAAAAUGAUAUUUUGAUGGGUUUAAAUAGCCUUACCCUUUUGUAUAAUUAUAAACAUAUAAUAAUAAUACAAAGUACUUAAUGUAAGCCGCAAUUAAUAUUUGCUUUCAAUAUUCAAAUUUUUAUUUUUAAAACCAUAUGAUAAUAAAGUACAUGAAUCAUGAAAUAUUAAAGGAGUUUAUAUUUAUUUAUCUAUUUUGCAAUUUCCAGUAAUUAGAAUUAUAGAGAGUAAUUGGUGAAUUUUGUUUGUUAAUUUUUUAUUUUAAUAAGAUUGAUUAGAUUGGAUUGGAUUGAAUUGAAUUUUUUAUUAGUUUGGAUUUGAUCGAAUUUCAAUAAAUGAUUGGAUCAAAAAUAUAAAAUUUAAUAUGUGAUGGAUUGCGUUUAGAUUUUAUGAAUGUCAUCAUCUUUUAUAUGUAUGCUACUAUUACUAUAAAAUAAAAGUGGAAAUUAAAGGAUAUUAAAAGCAUUGUUAGUUGUUAAAAGGAUAUUACGUAAAAAAAUGAUACUCUCUCCCUCUCAAAAUAACCCAUUAAAAAUUAGGUAUUCUUAAAAGUUCAAAAUAUUUAGGAAAUGCAGUUCAAGAGCUAGAAAUGAAUAGAUGAAGUUGGCACAGGCUGGUGUGAAAAAAAAAAAAAGGGUAGUUGAAACAAAAACUUAUAAACAAGUUUGGUUCCUUAUGUAACCAAUUAAGGGUAGUUGAAACAAAAACUUAUAAACAAGGCUGGUGUGAAAAAAAAAAAAAGGGUAGUUGAAACAAAAACUUAUAAACAAGUUUGGUUCCUUAUGUAACCAAUUACAUACAAAAAUAGGACAACAAUAAUCAAUUAUGUACAAAAAUAGGAAAAAACUCCCGAAUGAAUGGAACCUCCCCACAACAGAGAAGGCAGAAGCCAGCAACAGCCUAAGCCACCAACUUUUAUAUUAACCAGCUCAUCAAUCCCAACAUUUUCUCUCAUUAGGAGCAUUAAAUUUCGUUGCCAUACGCUGUAUAACAUUUCUAAUGAUAUUAAUAGCCAAAAAUAUAUAUUAUUAGGAAUAAUAUUUCAUUCCUUUAAUUUGCACAUUUCUGAUUCUGAGAUAGAGUCCCUUUAAUUUGUUGUCAUUUUGAAGGGACUUUAUCAGCAUUUUAUUAUAUAUGGCUGAGAGAAUUUUCAGCAUUGUGUUGGGGCGUUGGUCUCUUUUGAUGUGCAUGAUUUUAUCAUCAUCAUCAUCAUCAUAUGCACAAACUUGUAGCAAGUAUAGCUUUUCGAGCAACCGGGUGUUCAAAUCAUGCAAUGAUCUUCCUGUUUUGAACGCUUAUAUUCAUUAUAAUUAUGAUUCAUCAUCAGGAAAGCUUGAGAUUGGUUAUAGGCAAACAAGAGUUUCAUCUGCUCAAUGGGUGUCAUGGGCUGUUAAUCCCACAGAACAAGGUAUGGUUGGUUCCCAGGCACUUGUCGCAUACCGACAACCUGAUGGAAAAAUUAGAGCUUAUACAUCACCAAUCACUCAAUAUCAAACGACUUUGGCAGAGGGAAAUCUUGCUUUCGAUGUCUCGGAUUUAACAGCGACUUAUGCAAAUAACGAGAUGAUCAUUUUUGCUACCUUGGGACUUCAGAAUGGAACUACUACUUUGCACCAAGUUUGGCAACAAGGUCCACUCUCAGGAAAUGUGCCAGCAAUUCAUAGUACAACUGGACCUAAUGUUCAAUCCAUGGGGACACUGAAUCUUUUUUCUGGCCAAACUGCUACUUCUUCUGGAGGAGCUGCAAACUCUAAACUCAGGAAGAGAAACGUGAGUCAUUUUUUCAAAUUUUAUUUAUUGUAUUCGGAGGUUUCAUUUGAUCAUAUUAUAUCUUGUAUUGCUUUGUUAUCUUGAAGUUAUCUUUUAAUAAAUUAAAUGUCCAGAUUCAUGGAGUGCUAAAUGCUGUUAGCUGGGGUCUCUUGAUGCCCAUCGGAGUCAUAAUAGCAAGGUACUUGAAGGUAUUCAAAUCUGCAGGACCUGCAUGGUUUUACCUCCAUGUGUCUUGCCAAUUAUCAGCCUACAUUGUCGGUGUUGCCGGAUGGGCUACAGGUAUCAAACUCGGCAGUGAAUCCGUUGGCGUUGUACUAAAAACACACAGAACACUAGGCAUCGUUAUUUUCUGCCUUGGAACACUUCAGGUACCCUCAAAUUGUCCCUUGAGUUCACAUGUAAAAAAGUGCAGCAGCCUCAGCUGUUAUAAAUAAACAUACCCACUUAAUUUAAUUGAUAAGCAAGCUAUUAUCCAUUAAUUUGUGUUUUACUUGUACUAAGAAAUGAAUGAUUUUGCUUGUUCAGGCGUUUGCUUUGCUUCUGAGGCCAAAACCAGAUCACAAAUACAGAAUCUACUGGAACUUCUACCACCAUUCAGUUGGGUAUGCAACUAUCAUUCUCAGCAUAAUCAACAUUUACAGAGGAUUCAACAUCUUGAAACCCGAUAAUAAAUGGAAGCAAGCAUACACUGGUUGUAUCAUUGUUCUGGUUUGCGUUGCGGUGGUUUUGGAAAUAUUUACAUGGGCUUUGGUCAUCAAGAGGAAAAAGUCGGGAAGUGGAGACAAGAUAUCACAAUCCGUUAAUGGAUCAAAUGGGAACAAUAGUGGGCAAGGGGUGUAGAUAAAUUUGUACCAUUACAUAUGUAGCUGCAGCUGCAGCGUCAGCCUGUGGUGGUCAUUUGCUUUUUGUUGUUACAGAUUUGACAUUGUUGUGCUGCAGUUGAGGAUUGGAAGUUACUCUUUCAAGGGAUGGUUGUAAAAAUUGUUGUGUCCGGAUGUAAUAUGGUAGUUGCUCUUUGAGAUUUUGCACAUCUGUUUUAUUGCAUUUUUUUUCCCAAGUUGUUUUGUAUACUCGUUUCAUAUCAUACGGAGAGCAUGCAUCUUGGUUCCUUAAAGUUCCUGCAAAUUCAGCAUUCAUGCAAUAAUAUCCUAGCAAAGAAAUUGUAAUCCCAACUUUAUGCGUUAUCAUUUCAAUGAAACGUAUGAUUUGGAAGGCUUAACGCCAAUUUGAAAAAUCAUUAAAUUACUAUUACAAAUGGCUCUUUGUUUAAAACCUCACAGUGGGAUCAAAUCAAGAGUACAUAUCUUAUUGCUGCUCAGAGAAAGUAGAAUUAUCUCGACCAUAAUAGAUUAAUAAGUAACUUCAAGAUUAUAUCUGGAAGUUAUAGAUGCUUGCUCAUUCUGAUUGUCGCAAAGCCUCAAUAAAAGCAUCCUUGACGUGGGGGUUCGAAGCUGCAACUCUCUGAGCUGUGAUAUCAAAAUCCUUACCAGAUCUGAUACAAAACAACUUGAUCAAUUCAUAAACUUAAAUAUAAGCUCUGAAACAUAUUCAAAAUAUCUCGUUUGUUCUUAACUCGUCUUUUUUUCUUGAAAAGAAAAAGAAAAAGAAAUAGUAAGUGCUCUAAGAAAUCAUGUAGUUUUGUAACAUUAAUGGCAUUGCCCAAUUCCAAGUCACAGAUGGCAAAGAAAAAUUACUGAAAAGUAAUAGAUGUUAAAGUAAUACAUUAACUUAAAAGAGAGGGUAAUCACAAUUUCAGACUGUUAUUCCCACCAAAGGUCUUUCUGAACUUUUGAGACAAAGAUGUUUGCACUUACGGAUCAUAAACAAGUCCUCCAGCUUCUUCAACAAUCACAACACCAGCUGCCACAUCCCUGAGUACAAGACAGGACAUAACUCUCAUGUACUUCACAUAACUAAGAAAAGAAGAUAAAAAAGUACAUGCAUACCAUGGACCUCCAAAUCCGAGUUCAUAAAACAGAUCAAGCCUUCCGCAUGCAAUUCCACAAAGAUUCAAUGCACAGGAGCCACUCAUCCGAAGGGAUCUCACCUGGUAAAAAGAUCAACUGAGAUAACAUUUAUGGAAACAGACUUAGCGAAUCUGUAAAAAAUACAACGAUGAUCCUUGAUUUUACCUUGAAUAGCAAGCUAUUGAUUCUAUUUGUAGAAGCAUCCAGAGUUGGCUUAUCACGUUUUGUUCCAGCCUGCUCUCAAUAACAUAAAAUUUCCAGUUAAUUACAUGCUACUUGCGUAAUUGUCAGUUUACUUCUAUAGUUUAAACAGAAAUAUCAUCCUCAAAUUGGUGGCUAUCCUCAUCACGACAAAUAAUUAAUUAAUAAGAGACAAGACACUAGACAUGUGUCAAACAUUGCAUACCUCUGUUGCGAGGAGAGACUUUACUAGUUCAGUUUGAGAUGAUACUGCAAAUUUUCAAAACAUAAGCAUGCAUUCUUUCUUGGAGGAAUUGAUAAAUGAUAAAGAAAAGAAAAAUAUAACAUUGAGUAUGGUGAAAAUCACCUUUUAUAGGUUUUCCAUUAAAAAAUGCACCUUGUCCACGGACUCCAGUAAAAAGCUACAUGUAACGAAAUCAAAGUUUACAUUUCCAUUGGCUGGUAAAACUCAUGAACACAAUAUAAAUUCUGGUCACUGGAGCAAGUUAAUAAUUUAGAAUGUCUAUUUUUCAUUUGAAAGUUACCGACAGCAUAAAGCUGAGAGGAAGCAAAGCACAUGAUUUGUUCACAGCAGGUGGCCCUAAAACAAACACUAAGGUACCAGAAACCACCCAUGCCAGUUAGCAGUUAUAACUCAUGCGUUACCAUCUACAAUCCUGAGCCCUCAAUUAAAUGGUGUUUAACCAUUCAUUUUAGACCUUACAGGGAGCAUAGAAUUCUCACCUCAUCCAUUAUUGGAUUGUAGACAACCCCGACAAUAGGAAUCUUUCCAAUUGUAAGACCGAUAGAGAUACACACAAAGGGAAACCUAGAAAUAUGCAAUAAUGUGAAAAAUGAAAUUAAUCAAUAAUUAGAGAGCAAGUCAAUAACCAACCAGUUAAAUGCAAUAUUUACCCAUGCACAAAGUUAGUUGUUCCAUCAAGAGGAUCAACAAUCCAAGUGGGUUCAUCAGUCAACUCUGUGGCACCACAAGCAGCGGUAGUUUCUUCUCCAAUGAACUAAGAUGUGAUCAAUUAAAACAAGUUCAGAAAGAGAGAGGGGGGCUGCUGUACGGCCAAGGCGGAUGUACGGUACAGCAGCAUUCAUAUAAAAUCGAAAAUGGUGGAUGUAAAAAACAAAUCCACAGCGGAUCAUGUCCUUCAAGUCGCACGUUGCUUUCUACCACAUCGUUUCAAACGAAGUUUUACCAUAACAUUUCUCUAGUUUGGAACCGGUAUGUAAUUGAUUCCAGUAUGGAAUCAUGAAUAGUCAUUGCUUCGGUCGAUACACAGACUUUUUUCCUUGUAUAUGAAGGGAAUAUUUAGGUUGUUAGUCGUUCAUCCGGAAUCCUGAAAUGAAAAAGAAAAUCAGAAUUACAAAAAUGGGCGAUUUCCGUAUCUAUCAGAUUAGACUGAACAAUUUUCGUUGGAAGUAAUUAUGUAUAUUGUAUGUUAAAUAUUUAAUUUAACAGGAAGAUAAGGGCUCACAAAUCUUAAAAAGCCUGCUGUACGGCCAAGGCGGAUGUACGGUACAGCAGAAGACUCAUCUGCUCUUAUGGGGGGGGGGGGGGAAUCCAUUUAAAGGAGACAAGAAACUAAGUUGAUAAAUAGCGCAAAUUAUGUUAGAUAUACAAGCUAAACAAUGAAGAUAUAGGAGACAACCUUAUGCGCGGGAAAUUGCUGCUUGAGAUGAUUAAAUAUGAGAUCCUCACAUGCUUUAUCAGUUUCUGUGACCAAAUCCACCUACAUGUCAGCAUUAUGUUUGCCAAUGAUUAGUAGAUAUCAUCAUAUAUAUCAGAGCUAAAAACUGGCAACAAAAUAUUCUCUGAUACUUGGCCAUUUCAUAUUUAAACUUGAAUGCUAAAUUUUCAUUUCAACUAAGAGAUUUUUUUGAUAAACUGCAUAUAACGGGGGAAAAUAAGGAGCAAUUUAGCACUACACAGGUUAAGUUCCUUCACAUCCCCAUGGGGCUAGCAAAUGCACUUGUUUAGUUACCAGGAAACAACAAUUUAUAAGAAACAAAAAGUAUUAUCUGGAUUCUUGACAUAGUUUGUGAUGUCUAAGAGAUCAAAAAUUCAAAUCCACAAUGACCAUAGAUUUAAAAUAAGAAUUAAAGCUAAGAUAUAUAUAUAAUUCUGGUGAUUUGCUUCCAUGGAGAGCUGAAAUUUUUCAGCACUUCCAAGGACAACAAACAUAUCGCUCCCAACUGGUCAACAUUUAUGCUGAUAUGAUCAUAGAAUACAUCCCAGGCAAAUUAUGGUCUUAAACUAACAAUAGCUUCAGUUCUAGAACUAAUAUGUGUACCAACCAUCAAUCAUUGAUGGUUCCAUAAUUUGAUUCACUUGGGCUGAACUCAAAAUUAAAUAGCCACCCAUAAGUACUGCAUCAAUGUACAUGAAUACAAUUGCCUGAGUGAUAAUUAUCAAAUAAAAGAAUUACAAAGUCCAAUUUUUGUGAAAAAGAAAAAAGAAAUACCUGGCCUUUAUGCUCCACAUUUUUGGUUUGAUAGAACCCAUUACGGAUUAUCUGUACAUAACAACAAUUCCAAUACAAAUAAUAAAAUAAAGACAAUAAAGUUAAAAUGAAAGAAAAUUUGAUUUUGAACUGAACCGACCUCGCCAGCCCUCUUAGCUGCAUCAACUGCAGUGUCCAAGAACUUUGCAAGCGAAUCUAAAAUCCAAAAGAAUUUAGUAAACAACAAAGAAAGUGUGUUAAUAACAAAAUGCGAGAUUUUUUGAAAAAGAAGAAUAAAAGAAAAAUCAGAAUAUGGGGCAUUACCAUUUUGUGCCAUAUGGGUAGAAUUUUUUAUUAUACGGGAUUAAAAAGUUAAAGAGAAGAACGAGAAGAGAAGGGACAGCGAGCUGAUGAGUGAUGAUGGUGGUAAUGACAGGUUGUGCUUCGUUUUUGAGCUAUUUUCUUUUUAUUUGAUUUUUUUUUUGUAUACGUAGCAAAAUGAAACCAUCAAACCAAUCUAAUCCGACACCACGAUUUUACUUGGUGUUUGUGUGUGUGUUUUAAUAGACAAGAUUCAUCACGUCACGCAAUUACCCUUUGGAAGAAUACUGAAGAGUUCUCUCGAGUCCCAUCGAGGUAAUUACAACAGUAAAAAUCGCAAUCACUUUGCCUACUUAUUUUAUAAUUUAACUCACGCUCGCCCUCCUCACACUCUCUAGCUGAAAGUCGGAUGAUUCGUGGAAUAUGCCAAUGCCAAUGCCAACGCCAACACAUUUUGUUUCGUUGGGUUUGGUACAGGACACAACACAAUCAGUGGCAGGCAUAGCAUUCCUUCCAAGCUGAGGAAGCUUCGUGCCUUGCCUCCUCUCUUAAAACUCUCUCUUGUUUAUUAAUCAUUAUAACUCCAUUUAACGUGAACACAGGACCCAACAAAUAAACAUACCCCCAAUCCCUUUCAAGCCAGCCACAUUGAACUCCAAACCAUAAUGCAGACAGCAUAGCUUUCGACUCACCUCAAAAAUUGUGUUAGCCGAAUGCAGAAUGGUAGAAAUACGAAUGUAAUGUACUGUGAUUAAACCAAGUAUGCCAAUUUAACCAAUUUCUUAUAUGAAUUUUUUGUUCUUCAUUUUUUUUUCCUUUUUCCAACACAAGUUUAUAUAUAUAUAACUACAAGAAAGGUGGGAAUACUGAGUACUUAGAAAAUAAACAUCUUACUUAGCCAAUUAUUUGACUACUAUGACCGCUAUAUGAUUCACAUUUAAAUGAUGUCAAAUAACACAAGAAGAUUGCCACGUGAGUGAUACAGCAAGCUUGCUCAUGGGCGGUCUCUUGGCUCAAGACCAGCAAUUUCCUUCACAACCUGAGCUUUGUCUGCCUCAAACUGUUCAUCCUCUGUAUCAAAGAAUGCUUGUAAUUGUCAACAAAGUCUCAAUUACCAUCUUUAAGCAUGCUGUUAUAUUUAUAGAAAUGCUACACCUUCUACCUUUAUCAGUUUUGAAAUCAGCAAACAACCGUAGAAGCUUGCUUCUGUUGGCAACGAGUAUGCUUACUAUGUCAGGAGGUUUGUUUUGAUUCGCAGCAAACAGCUGUAAGGCAUACACAUACAAAUGAAUAUAUAGUACCUUAAAACUAUAAACUCACAAUGUACUCAGCAACUAGAACAGGAAGUACCUUGAAAACAUGAAAUGCUUCUAUCUGGAUACUCUUGCUGGAUUCCUGCAAGAGGGAAGCAUUUAGUACAUCAAAGCUUUAUUUCAAUCAAUAGACAAGUUUAUUAGUCAAUUAUGGCCCAUUGGGCAUCAAAUAGGUGGCUAUCACAAACCAUAUGCAAGGAUAUUUUAUCAAACGUUACUGGUUCAGUCCCCUGCAAUUUUUGAUAAGCCAAGUAAAAGAUAUCUUCCACAUGCAUUCUGGGAAAGUAUCUUACUCUAAGAAGAUUCAUGAGUAUCCUCAAAUUUUCCCUUGAGCUCACAUAUCUUGUCAUCACUACUGAAUUUGACCGAUCCAGUAAUAUGUCUCCCAACAGCUAUAACAAAAUAAAGCAACCUUCAUUAAUAAACAGUAUAAGUACCAAAACAACCAACCAUAAAUUCCACUACGCCAUAUUCCAUUUCAAACAUCACAAAGUGAUGAUAACAAUCUUUAUUAAACCUUCUGAAAUUUUCUAACUUCAAUUAAAAUACGUUGUGAUUCUAUCCACGGCCAAAAAUGAAGAACUAUUGUAUUAGUUAAAACUAAUUUUGAGAAGCCACAUAUGCCAAAAGCUCCGGGUUAGUUUUCAUUUCAUUUUCUUAUUCAAAAGUCAAAUAACAAUAAUUACCCAUUGACUUGCACAUAGUUUUCCUACCUUGACAGCUUGUCGUCUGGUAAUGUAAUUGGAAGAUUCCAACAGUUUUGAGUUAUAUUCUGCAAAAAACUGAAAACAGCAGAGGAUUUGAACAUAUUAAGCUCUGCUCAAUAGAAAACAGCAACAAGAAGUUUAGAAAUAUAUCACGUAUGAUUGAGAUGUAAAAAUUUAAGUACCAUGAAGUGCAUCAAUUAAGAAUGUUUACGUAGGGCUAACUCUCCUAAUGCAAAUAUAAGAAAAUUCAAAGCAGAAAAAUUUAAAACAAACAAGAUCAAAGCAUAAUCAAAUUGGAAACGCGCAAAAUGGAAUGAAACAAAUCAUACCUUCACAUUUUAUACUUAUCAAAAGCAAUUCUGUUUAACAUAUAUCAUAGCUUGUAGAAUAUAUGCAUCACCAUAGAGAGUACCAGGUGUUACUAAAUUUUUACAUCCUAUUCUUCUCAUUAAAUUACCUUCAUCUACGUUUCAUAUGAAUUCAGAAUGGAAAGGCAUUGCAUAAUGUUAAACACCCUUUUCAUCUAGGGUUCAUUUGGGCAUCGACACACACACAUGUAUGUACAGUUUAAAAUAUAAAAGCAACAUUUACCCAGUUAUAAUUCUUAGAAAGAAAUUCGGCCACAGUGGAUUUGUGCCUUGUCAACAGUUCCUGCAGUAAAGUGUACAAGAGCGUCACUCUCACAUUUGCAUCAGCAUAACUUAGAAGUCCAAAAUAAAGCUGGAUAUAAAUCAUAUAGAAUAAAUUAUAAUGACAGCCACAAAACUGAAUAAAGUUUAGAAAACCAUAAAAAGAAUGACUAAACCAACAAUUGGAAAUAUAACUUCAACGGACUGCAAGAUGCAUGACAAAAACCAAGUUUCACUUGCAGCUUAGUUGUUCAUAUUAAAAUAAAAAACUAAUGGCAAAAUCACAGAGAGAGAGAGAAAGAGAUCCUUCAUCACUUCUUAUUUAAGUAUAUACCUUAAAAGUUGCAGCAGCAUCUGCAGCAAUGUCAAAAUUUGGAAGCUGUAUAUAGUCAAAAAACUUCUUCAUGUGCUGGGAUUCCAACACAUAUCUGUAAAUCAAAGCAGAGAAGUUAAGACAUUCACAUGAAGCCUAUGAACAAAUAAUGAUCAUGAAAUCAACCAAUUUGAAAAUCUUAAUUGAAAGAACUAUAUUAUACCAUUAGAACAAAAGGGUGAAUACACAUCAUUUAGAAAACCCUCAUCAAUCAAUAUACUAACAACUUUGAUAGACAAAUGGUUUCUAAAAUUAAACCGUAACUCAAUUUUUUAAGACGAAAUCACAAAAAGGAAGUCCAGGAUAUCAGCACAGGCACUAGACGAAAAUUGCCUCCAAUGUGCCCAUUGCUUUAUUGUCACCCAACAUUUUCAACUUUGCAACAAAUUCUCGGCAUAUGAUUUGAAUCAAUUCCAUGAUUGCAAUUCAGUAGUUCACUCAAAAAUAGAGGAUCAGAUUUCUGUAAGCUUGUCAAGUGAUGAAAUGAAUAGUUCAAUCUAAUUAGCUUACUCACCUUGCAACACUCUGAUGACGAAUACACUCCCUAAGCAUAGCACCAUAAUGUAAAGCCAUGUCUGUGUUUUCAUAACUACAGAAGCAGCUUUCAACAAUUAGAACACACUAACAAACACAAUGGUAUAACAUGGCAUCCUAACAUCCUUAAAAUAUCUUAUAAUUUUAACUUACCCAGCUAUCAGAAUAUCCAAAAGAUCUAUGUUUGCUUCUAAGUAGUCAGAGGCAAUCAACUUUGAGUGAACUUGUUGCCUCUGUAAAUUAGCAACAACCUGAGUGGCAUCUUUCCUUGCCUGCAAAAUACAAUCAUGUCUUACUGCAUUGUAUUUUGUAAUUGAACCUCAGCAGUGAAAUUUGGCAAGAUUAUUAACGACACGAUCAUUACAAAGUUGAAAUCUUAAACCGGGAUACAAGAAGUUAAUAAAUAAAACUAAAGGCAAUCUGGGAGGUAGUUCAACUUAGCAAUGUAAUGCUUACCUCCAAGUUCAACUUUGGAAGACAAGUUAUCAAAAGCCGUAACGUGUUUUCCCUGAAGAACUCUGCAGUCAAUUGUGCACAUGCCUCUGAAACUGGCUCAGAUUCACUAUUGCCAUAAAGUAUUGACUUUAACUCCCUGAUGUUUUUACAUAACUCUGCCAUCUACAAAAAGGAAAAGGUUAACUUGGAGGUCUAGUUUGGGUAAUGCAAAGAGGAGAAGGAUCAACGAUUUGAUUAUGAAGAGUCACCACUCACGGAUUCAACCAUUUGAUUAAACAAUUUCAAAACAAUUCAAAGCAUGGCAGAUAUUUGUAACAAUUCAACUCAUGACCUUGUCCUUGUACACACAAUGAAACUUUCUUUCAAGUAAUUUGUCAGUGCAAUAUCCCCAAACCAUCACAUCCAAAAAAUCGGCCAAGGCUACUAAAAUUCAACGUCAUUAAAUUCAAUCUGUUGGUCAAUCCCAUGCCAUUGUGGCCAAUCCACAGUAAAAAUGAAGGCAGACUAUUUAAAAUUAAUAAAUAACAAAAAGUUACAAACCUUAACAAAAAUUCAGCCUGUUUUCACAUACCCAGGUAUCAAAAUCGCAGACUAAACUCUCAAAACACUCAUCACUAACUAAUUCAGGUAAUCCCCAAUCUCACGCAUGAGUAUUUUCCCAGAGAACAAAAAAUGGGUAAGAAAUAUAAAAACCUUGUCUUCGCGCUUCGAUUCACGAACAUCUGCGCUGCGAUUGGCGUAAAUAAUAAGAUCCCGAGUUUGGCGGACGAUGUCGACGGGAGUACGAGGCUUGGAUUUGAAAAGUCCCUUCAUUUUUGUGUUAGGGUCUAAUUCGUUAAUCGAACUUGAACUGGCUGAGCUCGAGAGGCGCUGGACCGAUUGACUCGCCGAGGCUGAGAGCGCCUCAGCUUUCGGCUUUGACGCACAGAUUCCUAUUGUGUAUCUUCUUCUUCUAAUUAGGCUUUAGGGUUUCAGCUUUCGAAUUUAAUUUUGCUGUCUGAGUUGUUGUUACAGUCUACAGAGAGAAAGAGACUGUUCAUGCGUUUCAAUGGAUUUUUUUAAAGAUUUUUAUUUCAUUUUUAUCUAUUGAAAAACUGUGCUGCGUCGUUUUCGAUUUUAGUCAAUCAAUUAUCAAUCAACGGCUUCGCUUUGGGUUUUUACGUUUAAGUAUUCGCCACUCGGUAGUUACCAUGUGCACUCGAUGUCAUCCCGAUGAUGAUGAUGAGAUAAAAUAUCUUCUGCUUUCAUUGUAGAGUCAUAGAAAUUGAUACAACGAUGCAUGAUCAUAGAAAAUUACCAAAAAAAACUUGAAUUUCAUUAACCAAUCAAAUUAAUUUAUUUUCCCUCAAAAUCUAUCUCUCCAUUAUUAAAAAAAGUAAAAAUCUAUCUUAAUCUAUGACCGUGAGGGGCAGGCAUUAUGUUUUCCAAUCUUCAUAUCCACAUAUUUUCCUCCUAUUGAUUGUUAAUAACUGUUUGUGAUGGCCAACUUGCACUUGCUAAUGCUCCUUUCGGUUCCACCUUCACAAUCACAUGCUUUCGGCUUCGCCACCCGCUAGACAAUUUAAUGCUCCUUACAAACCAUUUAUUUAGGAAAGGAAAAAUGGAAGAAAAAGCCACACCGCAUAUCCACGUGCCUGCGGGAAAACGUUCUCCACUUUUUCAACUUCAAAGUCCAAAUGCUAAAUCCGAUAAGCAUAUGCUAGUUCUAAUUGCUUUUGAAUUGCAAUUGGACAGCUCUAAUUUUUAAAUUAUAAUAUUUAAAUAUUUAAUAAAUUUUAGGACUCGCCUAUCGUGUAAUAGUGGCAUCAUGUCACCGCUUUUGUCUUUUUUGUGUAAAAUUUCAUGAAACCCUUUCACUUAUUUUUAUUUGAAUUUUACUUCACAAAUAUUAAGUUCAUUUCUCCCAAACCCGUGAAUCCUUCAACGGCCGGUCAACGGCAAAUCGGCUCCUCUGGUGGCUGUGGUUGGCCAGAAAAGACAGAAGGAAUUAUGGAGAACAAAACUCAAGUGGUGGCGUCAUCGGAAACCGGAGAAACCGCGGCAAAUUGAAGCGGGGAUUCUGUGACUUUUCACGGCUUCGAUCGGCAGCUUUCUGAAUGCUUUACGGCGACAAGGAUGGCAUGGAGAUGACCGGUGUCGCACGAGCUUCCGAUCGGUACCAACCUUGGCUGGUGGAGUUGCCGGAAACGGAAACAAAAUCCGGGUCGGGUUCGCGGGUCGGGUUGACCCAGUUAUUUUUGUGACAAGGAUGGUGUGGAGAUGACCGGCGUCGCACGAUCUUCCGAUCGGUACUAACCUUGGCCGGUGGCGUUGACGGAAAUGGAAACAAAAUUCGGGUCGGGUUCACCGGUAUUUGUGAUAAAGAGAGGGGUAUUGUGAUCAAGGUGUAAUAUAGAAGAAAAAUGUAUAAAUAACAAAUAGUAUAAGGUGCUAAUUAUAAUGUUUAUAUGGAUGCAAUAGAAAUUAAUUUAAUAUUUAUGAGGUAAAUUUUAAAUAAAAAUAAAUGAAAGGGGUUCAAUGAAAUUUUACAACACAGCUGGCACAAAAGACAAAACCAGUGGUACCGUAGCUGGAUCCUAAAUUUUAAUAGCUAUAGUUUGAAGACUAAAUUGAUUAAAUUUUAUAUUUAUUAAUUUUAUCAAAAUAAUUAUCUAAAAAAUAUUUAUUAUAUAUAAUUAAUUUUUAUUUUAUAAUUAUAAUUUUAUUACUAUAAUUAUAACUUUUAAAAAAUUACCGUACCUUAAUAUCAAAUAGAAUAUAAGCCAUGGAUUGAUUCGGCUACAGACUAUUGCAUGUAGACAACGUUCAUGAUGGCCACUUCGGCCUUGGCCGAAGUGGUGGGCUACUGCCCUCACAAGCAUUGUGAGGGGUUAAAUGUUCUUUAUAUUUAAAAAUCCUUCUCCCUUGUGAAAUGCAAGUGGAGUAUGGACAUCUCUCUCACGUGAGGAGUUAUUUGUCUGGGCAUGUACUUCAUAGAAUUCAAUGUAAUAAUGUAAGUCCCAAUCAUAUAUAUCUGAUUAUAAAUAUCAGUAUAAUAUCUCUACUAUAAUAAUAAUUGUUAUAAAUAUCUGUGUAAUACAGUAAUAUAAUGAUUAAUUAGUAUUAAAAAAAAAAAAAAAAAAACAACGUUCAUGAUGGACCCUGAAAUGGAUUAAGGCCAUUCCAAAGACUUUUUUCACAACCCCAUUUCAUUCAAGUUUGAAGUGCAGGGCCCACCCAAUUUGUUGUCCUUUCAUAUUUUCUCUUCAUUACAAGUGGAUGAAAUUUACAAUUUUCUUAAAAAUAAAUAAAAAGGAAACUUUUAUCCCACUCCCACACACACAUAAAUGCCUAGCUAGUGGCUAUAAAUUUCCCUAGUCCUAACCACUUUAUAAAUUAUAUCUAAAUUGUUUUUAGAUUGAUAUCAGUCCAAGUAUACUGUUCAUUCUUCGAAUGGUGUUGUUAAGUUAGGUAAUAAUGUAACUUACAUUAAUUCAAAAUAUGUAUUUAAUGAUUUAAAAAGUAAUUUAGUUAGUUCUAUUUUUAAGUCACUAGUUACAAUUUAUCGAUUGAUGUAAGUACAUCAUAAUGUAAUUUAACAAGGACAUCCUUCAAAAUAUUCUCUGGAUAGGAUAAUAUGGUUUGUCUAAUUCACUAUCAUGCAAAUAUAAAAAUAUUCAUUUCCCAAGAUCAUUGUUUUACUGACAUAUAACAUAUAUUUACGGCUCUUUUGGUUUUAGUCAUGGACUAAUUGGGAGUUUUAUAUUUAACGAGUAUAAUCUUACAGCUCCAAUAUACUUCUAUGAUGAUUAUUUUUGCUAAUCACAUAUGAAAAUCCGAAAAUCACUAAUCAUCCAUUGAAUUUUUUAAGGUAGCAUUUAUUUUUUCGCUUGAAAUACAAAUAAACUUGAAUUAGUCAUGAAUUCUAAAUAGAGUUAGAUUUUUAAAUUUAAAUUAAAAGUUUUUAAAAUUCAAAUGCCUGAUAAUAAGUAAUAAACAUCUCAAUAAAUUUAAGAAAGAUAAUAUUAUGUCAUAAUAUAAAUCAUGUUCGUGUGAAUAUAUAACUUUUUAAUACUCUAAAUUAGAAUAUAUUAUUAAUUUUAUUCUGAUUUAUAAUGUAUUAUGUGAAAAUACUCAUAAAAAAUUGUAAAGAUAAAUAAUACUAAUUUGAAGUAUAUAAAAAUAAUAAUGCCACUAUUUCAUUAUCACAUAUUAAUGCUAAUUAAUAAUUUUAUUUAAGUAAGGAUGAAAAUGAAUACGAUUAUUUUAGAAAAUAUUUUUUAAUGAUGACAUUAUAAUUUUUUAAUUAAAUAAAAAUCUAAAAAAUAAUUUAACAAUUUAAUAAUUAAAAUUUUUUAUUAAGUUGAAAACCAAACAUACUUAAUAACUUAAUUAUUUGAUAUUAAAUCAUUGAAUUAAAAUAAAUAAAUAACUCCAAAUAUACAUUUAAUAUGACUUAUCUAAUAGUUAAAAAUACUUCUUUACUCUUAUAAAUUCUUUAUUUUUUUUAUAUUAGUUGGUUGUAGUUUAUAUAAAAUCUUGAAAUUAAAUAAACUACUUUGGCCCAACUAAUAAAAUUAAAUUUUUUUAAAUUUUAAAUUCUUUUUUUUUUGAUUAAUUGGGGCUCUAAGAAGAGCUAGAGAACAACAGUACGGGGGUGAGAAACCUUGUAAGAGUCAUGCAAUAACAGAGCCCUAACGCCCAAAGGGGGGAAAGGGUACACAGUAAGGCCUAGCGGAAUAGAAAAAACGAGGUUCGCCAUAUAAUCUGCAACAAAAUUUACUUCUCUGUAAAUAUGAGAGAUAGAAACAUGCCAAUCCAAUUUGAGAUAAUCUUUUAUAGCCUGGCAAAGCCUGUUAGCCAACGUCCUAAGUGAUCUCGAAUCAAACCACCUGCAGUGGAAGUCCCGUGAGACUUGUGAGCACCAUCCGUAUUCAGAGUACACCAGGGCCACUCAGGAGGAUGCCAAGAAAUCCACAUGUGAGCCCUAAUAUUCCUAGUGAGCAACGGGUGGUUAUGAAGCUUGUGAAUCUCCUCAGCUCUUGUAUGGACAUCCACCAACAAAGCCAAAGGGUCCAACAUCAAUUUGUUAAAGAGAAACUGGUUUCGCCAAUACCAGAUCCUCCAUAACGCGACGCCAAAAAAAACAGCCCAGUUCGAAACAUUCCCUACCUUACUAUUAACAGCCAGAUUCGAGCAGAGCCAAAGAUUAAGCCGAGAAUUAAAGAAACUGUGUCGUUUGCUUGUCGGAAUAAUGUUGAGCCAAAACUGCUUAACCAACCAACAAUCACGUUCCAUUUAUUUUAUAUUUUUCAGAAUAAAAAAUUUGUACAUUAAAAUGAUUUUACGACAUUUAAUAAAAACAUACCGCAAGCAACCAAACUACUAAUAAAUUUCUUUUAAUAAAAGCUGAAGCUCCAUUGAUGAAAACUCUCGUUAAACCUCAUAUUUAAAAAGCUACGAUAACAAUAACGGAGCCUCUUAACGCCGGUGACACUAAUACCCAUCCGAUCAUUAGCAGUUUUGCAGACGGUCAAGCAUCGCUGACCGCCAGGCAAUGGCUCCAAUCACAUGCUUAUGUAUCAGUUAUCACGUCACUUUCGCCCGACAUAUUAAAACAUAAAUUAGAGAUCAGGGCGGACUGCAUAUAAAAUUAUAAGUAAUCAUCACCAUCAUCAACAACAAUUGAAAAAGAAAAUGGAAAAUCGAAAUCUGAAAGACUCACCUUUGACAUUCAUAAACAAUAUAAUAAUAUCAUCACUCACAUAACGAAAACCUUAAUAAUUAUCAAUCUGAGAUUACAUGCAUUGUUAUUUGUUAAACACCCUAUUUAACCAUAGGCUUAAACGAGGUGAGACUCUUGAAAUGCUCCCAUGGCUUCUCCCAAACGACAGCUUCAAAUUUCUUGGUCGAAGGUCCGUCCUUGACGACCAAGAUCAGCCGGUAAUUGGUGCCGGAAACCACCUGAGUCUCGGCCUUCUCCACGCUCUCGAACUUCAACGCGCUCUUUGACCGUUUGUUGUACUCUGUCACCGCGAACUGCCCGAUCUCCAUCACGUGCUUCUCCGUGGGGUCUAUCGGAGUCCAUCCCCCAAAUAUAGGCUUAAACGAUGUGAGACUCUUGAAAUGCUCCCAUGGCUUCUCCCAAACGACAGCUUCAAAUUUCUUGGUCGAAGGUCCGUCCUUGACGACCAAGAUCAGCCGGUAAUUGGUGCCGGAAACCACCUGAGUCUCGGCCUUCUCCACGCUCUCGAACUUCAACGCGCUCUUUGACCGUUUGUUGUACUCUGUCACCGCGAACUGCCCGAUCUCCAUCACGUGCUUCUCCGUGGGGUCUAUCGGAGUCCAUCCCCCAAACAUAGGCUUAAACGAGGUGAGACUCUUGAAAUGCUCCCAUGGCUUCUCCCAAACGACAACUAACAAUUUCUUGGUCGAAGGUUCGUCCUUGACGACCAAGAUCAGCCGGUAAUUGGUGCCGGAAACCACCUGAGUCCAGGCCUUCUCCACGCUCUCGAACUUCAACGCGCUCUUUGACCGUUUGUUGUACUCUGUCACCGCGAACUGCCCGAUCUCCAUCACGUGCUUCUCCGUGGGGUCUAUCGGAGUCCAUCCCCCAAGCAUAGGCUUAAACGAGGUGAGACUCUUGAAAUGCUCCCAUGGCUUCUCCCAAACGACAGCUUCAAAUUUCUUGGUCGAAGGUCCGUCCUUGACGACCAAGAUCAGCCGGUAAUUGGUGCCGGAAACCACCUGAGUCUCGCCCUUCUCCACGCUCUCGAACUUCAACGCGCUCUUUGACUGUUUGUUGUACUCCGUCACCGCGAACUGCCCGAUCUCCAUCACGUGCUUCUCCUUGGGGUCCUCUAUCGGCUUCCAUCCCCCAACCAACGCUCCUUUACGGUCGCCGGCGGCCAGGAGAGGGACCACGGAGAGAAAGAGAACAAUAAGACAGCAAAAACGUUGAUUCAUUUUCGUUGUUUUGGUAACCGUUCACACCAAAGUCCGUGACUUCCGGUUCUUGAGUGAAUACUUCGCCUUGGCCCCUGGUUUUGGAUUUUAUACGCGGCGAGUUUUAGUGCACCGACACGUCUGUACGCUUUGUCUGAUUUGAAAAGGAGGUACACGUGACAGUCAGUGGUGUGAUUUCUGUGGUCUUAUCAUAUACGUGGCGGUUUACGAAAUGGGGCCCGCAUUCUUGGCGUGGCAGGAUGUGAAUACUGAGUGGGAAGGAGAAUGUAUGUGCUUUAGCACACCUGAGCAUUUACCACUGGAGAGUGAUACUGACGCAGGCAAAUAAUAAAAUAAUAAUAUCUAAUUGGGUGAGACUGAUUUCUUCUCUACACUACACCUUUUUUUUUAAUUAAAAAAAUAUAUAUUUUUUUAAAUUACUUAAUUAAUAUUUUUUCUUUGUCUAGAGAAGUGAUACUGACGCAGGCAAAUAAUAAAAUAAUAAUAUCUAAUUGGGUGAGACUGAUUUCUUCUCUAGACUACACCUUUUUUUUUAAUUAAAAAAAAAUAUUUUUUAAAAUUACUUAAUUAAUAUUUUUUCUUUGUCUAGAGAAGUGAUACUGACGCAGGCAAAUAAUAAAAUAAUAAUAUCUAAUUGGGUGAGACUGAUUUCUUCUCUAGACUACACCCUUUUUUUAAUUAAAAAAAUAAAUUUUUUUUAAAAUUACUUAAUUAAUAUUUUUUCUUUGUCUUUUUAAUUUUAUAAUUUUUAAUCAAUUCACUGAAAUAUGUUUUUCUAUUUAUAAAUAAAAAGAACAAAAUCUACUAUUUAAAAAUAACAUUAAUAAACUUUUUUCGUUAUUAAAAUUAAUGAAUAUCAAUAAAUUAAUUUUUAUCAAAUACAAAAAUUAAUAAAUAUUAAAAAAAAUUCGUAUAUAAAAAAUAUAAAAUAGAGCUCAUAAUAUAUUAAAAAAGGGUAAAACCAUGAAUUAAUUGUUUAGUUUAUAAAAUAUAAGAAGGUAGGAAGAAUAUCCAUUGUAAAAUUAAAAUGAAAAAAAGAAAGAGAUAAGUAAUUUUAAAUUUUUAAAUUUUUAAAAAUAAAUUUGUUUUGUAAAAUAAAAAAAAAAUUAAUGAAUUUAAACAACCUUAUCCUAUCCUAUUUAAUUUAGGUAGCCCCACCAUAACUAAUUAGACAGCAGAGAUAAGAAAAUUACGUGAACUUUAAAUGUGAUACUUUCUUCUGGAACAUUACAGAAUUUCCAACUAUGAAUCUUUCGAUUUUUUUUCUUUUUUUACUUUUAGUCAAAAUAAAUUAUCAUUAUUAUUAUAAUUAUUUUAUCGACAACUAUUAAUAAAAGCCCAGGAUAUUAAAUUCGAGUGAUGGAUAAAUAAAAAAUUGUAUUUUCUUCCUUCUCCAUCCCCGAUGCGCCGUGCUCAAUUUCUUCCUUCUCCAUGCAUGCUCAACGGCAUAGGGAUUGCCACUUAGGCUUGUAGUUUAGUAGUGAAUCAUUAUUUUUAAAGUUAAGUAUAAUUAUGAGGGUAAUUAUUUGAGUUCUUAUGGACUCAAUUUUUCUCAAUUAAAUAUAAUUAAGUGAAGACUUCUUAUAACGUCUUUCUCCUUUGGGAAAUGUGAGUGGAGUAGAAACAUCUUCCUCUGUGAGAGAUAUUUGGUUGGGUUUGUACUUUAUAGAAUAAAAAUAUAAUAAUAUAAGUCUCAUAUAUAUAUUUAAUUAUAAAUAUUAGUGUAAUGACUGACUGUCAUAACAAUUAUAUAUAUCUCUGUGUGUAAUACAGUAAUAUGAUGCUUAUUUGGUUAAAAAAAAAAAAAAAAACAGCAUAGAGGUUGUUCACUUUUCCCCUCCCUCACAAAGGACACAUAGCCAAUGGCAAGGCCGAAGCGAACACAACCACCAACAGUGCCAGUUCUCGCUGGAAAUAUGAGGCAGGAGGGUGAUGCAAGUUUGGGAGGCUGCUGGCGGGACGAAGAGCCGUGGCCUGCAGCUGAUCGACGCGGCGUGGACGAUGGUGACUAGCGGCUGCAAAAUCAUAACCCUGAAAUUUUAGGGCUUCCUAUUUGUUUUGGUUUGGGUGGUUUUUCAUAAUUUAUUAUCAAAUAAAUUAUUUUGAUUGAGUUAAAAAUAAAUAAAUAAAAAAUUGAAAGUUGAUGUUGUUUGUGAUGCUUUCAAAGCAAGUGUAUGGUGCUAUUGCUAUGGAUACUGGGACAGGCAAUGAUGCUGGAGUUUGAAGAAAAUUGAGUCCCAAAGAAACAAGAAGCGGUGAUGGUUGCUGAUAGACGCGGCAAAAUUUAUCGAUCCUUACGAGGGUGACAAAAAAGUAACCGUAGAAUUUAAGACACGCAUUCGACUAGUAACGCGCAAGAUGAGCACACAGGAAAGCACGCUCCUCUCACAAAUACACAAGCAAGCAUUCGCAUUUCAGCCACCCUACUGUUCUCAGUGACUCUCGGAUGACACUCUCAUGCAUUUCACGGCAUUCAUCGCCCUGAAACCUUGGACAAAGAAGGAAGUUGGUUAUUAUUCGUAAUUUCAGACAACGGUGAUACAAUUUAAUCUUAUUACACACAUUAAAAUUUUUAUAAACUAAUAUUGCCGGCACUAGCAAAAAAAAAUUUAUUUUUGUAAAGUUAAUAAAUGAAUAGUCUACUAAUUUAUUGAUAAAUAAAUAUUUAAUAAUUUACAGAGAGAUUUUUUUUAAUAAAAAAAAGAACAACCAUUACGGAUUGUUUUGGUCAUUGCAAGUUCCGGUUAGGCCAAGGUACGGUUAUUUGACAACAAGUUGGUGAAGACGAAGGCAUUCAUGAACUAGAUGAAGUUAUUUUUGGUCUACACUACAAAAAUAUGAUAGAUAUUGAGAGCCUUUUGAAUUAUCGGAGUGAAAAUGAUACACUGAUGGAAUCAUCUAUUGACGAAGAGAUUAUUCAAGUAUAGUGGAUUUCUCUAGUGAUGAUGAUUAAUGAUGAUGAUCAAUAAGAUAGUUUUGUUUUACAAAAUGUUUUCGCAAAAAGGCAUUUCAAGCAAUAGUAGCCUUAAAUAAUUACUUUUAACACACAAAAAAAAAGAAUACCAAGUUUACACAAAAAAAAAAAAAAAACAAGACUAAGUUCAAUUUAGGAACAAAUAAAAAAUCAAUAACUUUAGAUGUAGAUUUUGCAAAGAGUUGAAUGCAGAUAAUUGAAGUUGUUUAUAUUUUAUUUACUAUUAAUUUUUGUGUUUGAUUAAUUUUUAAUUUAUAUUUUCAUUAGGCCCUAAAAGAUUUAAAAAUAUUAUUAUCUUAUGCAUUAGACAAAUUAUUAAUUUAAUAAACUAGCCUAAAUCAGAGAAUCAAGAUUAUUAACUUAUCAAAUAUUUAUUUAUCGUAAAUUUACUGUAUUGUAAUUAAGAAUUUUUCACAAGGGAUAAUGAUCGAUUAUUUGCUGGCGAGAGCUCUCUGAGAACCUUUUUCUUUUUAAAUAAAUAUUGUUUUCCAUAAAAUCGUAUAAAAGCAAGUGCCACCUAGCUACAUCUAAUAAAUAAAUAAAUUUAUCCAACUUUGUUUAUUGCAGACCUUAUUUUUUACAUAUUAAAUGCUAGUGACGAGGCAUCGUGGAAGGAAUUCACUGACAAUUCAGUAUGCUGCGGAUAAUGCAUGUAUAAAUUUUUAGGGGCGCGUAAAUCAGUUUCCGUUCAAACUACAACACAUUCAAUUUAGAGUAUUAGGAUUGGAUUCAAAUGGUGAACUCAAUCUAAACCAAACUGAAUUUAAUUCGAUUAAAUUCAUAUUACAAAUUUAGGCUACAAGAGUUUCAAUCACUACCUCGUAAAACAAGUCAAACAUAUGGAAAAAAAAAAUCAAUAAAAAUCACAUAUCUAAGUCACUCCAAUCUCACAUUCAAAAUCUCAGGACCCAGUUUUCAAGAUUCAAUUUUGAGUCCCUUUCCAUAAGUAUCGCAAGUUUCGUACAUCAAUUAACAUUCAUUUUAGUUUUCUCAUGAAUGUGAUUGAAUGAUUUACUCUUGCUAUGGAUCAUGAGAUGUGAUUGAAGAAGUUCUUAAAUCUAUUUAUUAGUAUAGGGUUAGUAUACAUUAUUAGAUGAAUGAUUUAUCUUUAAUGUCAUGUGGUUGUCAAUGAAUGGUUAACUCCUUAUUUAUUAUGAUCUAUUGAUUGUAACUUAUUUUCACUUAUAACUCACCAUAUUUAAAGUCUUAGAGUAUAGCUCUAGAUAACUAGAGCUAGACUUUUUUCAACUUACUCAUAUUGAUUGUCACUCAAGAGAUGUAAACAUAAACAAAUUAUCAACAUGAGAAUAUCUUAAUAAGAUCACAUACUUAAGGGAUUGAGAACUCCUCUCCUAUAAAAUCUAUGUAUAUCACCAAGAGUUAUCGCUAUGUUUUAUUGUCACAAUCAACAAGCUAAGUAUACUUCAAAAUUAAAAUUGCCUAAGCUCUAUAUAGCUCAUAAUUGAAUCGCCGAGCUCAGUUAUAAAUUGCGAGAGCUAAUUGAGUGCAACUCAAUUACCAUCGCCACAACUGAGUAUAGCUCAGUAUUGAAAUCACUACAACUGGCAAAUUGUAGCUCAGUUAUCUCUUACUACAGCUUUGUACAUCAUAGUUAUGAAUUGCUAGAGCUAAGUUUAACUUAGUUUGAAAUCAUUAGAGCUGUGAGAAAGCUCAACUACAGACUCCAAAAUAACUUAGAAGUUUACUAAUUAACAAAAGGCGACUCAGCAGCGAGUUGCCACAUGUCACCCCCACAACAUUUUCUCUUAAGUUUCUUGUGCGUUAAUUAUUUCAACACAAGAAACUAGAUGGAUCUUGUUUUGGGUAAAUUUAGGACAUUAUUUUAGAAAAAUAGGCAAGUACAUGCGGCAGUAGAGAAUAAACGAGAAGAAAAGUUAACACUUUUAAGUGAAUAAGGGAUAGCUCAAGACAAGUUAGAGGUAAUCUUUGAAAGAGAGAGAGGAUAACUCCAGGAAAUUUGCCCAGUUUAAAAGUGAAAGUGGAAUUAAAAAAUGAUAAUUGGAGCCCUCACGUGUGGGCUGCAUGCCAUCAGAAAAAGGGUUAAAUAUCUUGUCUAUUAUGCUAAAAACAAGAGACCAAUAGCAGAAUAAUUAGCUGACAUAGCAAUGAGGAAAGGACAUGUUAGCACUGCUUAAUUAUCCCUUAAAAAAUAGUAGGAUCACUGCACCAGCUUCUGCCACGUGGCAAAGAGCAAUGACCACAUGAAGGUUAAAGGAAUGAAUUAUUCACCAAACUUACUUGGUCACUAUUUGAGGAAGGCAGCACCAAUAGAAAAUCUCCGUAUGAUAGAAAAGAUAAAAAUGUCCCUAGGGCGUUUAUCCUAGAAAUUUAACUCAGGACAAGAUAAUAGACUUUUUCUCCAUAUUUGAUUUUUUGAGAGGCUACUUCAUGUUCUUCUUCCUGCAAUUUUAGGAUUUUUUAUUUCAUUUUUAUACCUCCAUGGAAGAUUUCAGUGAUCUCAUCUCUUAAAGAAACUUUUUCAUUAUUUUUUUCUUAGAAAACUAUCUAAUCUUCAUAAGACCCACAUCUUCCUCAUGUUAUUAUUCAUCCUAAACAAACUUUAAUAAGAUUUUGUUAAUAUUAUAAAUAAAUAAAUAUAUAUAUAGGACAGUUAUUAUUCAAUCUGAAAGUCCUGGAUUGGAUCAUUGUCUGGGAAUCCACUGGGAAUCCAACGACCCCUGGUGUCUUUUUUUUUUAAUUUGUUGCUGCACAUGGUGGGGCCCACCAUGUGCAGCCACUAGGCUUUGUCCCAAAAACUGUUUCACAAUUUCCUAUAUAUAUAUAUGUAAUACUUUUUUUAUUUAUUAGAUUGGAAAUAAAUUACUCCCGUGGAUAUAAGCCUAAUGACGAAUCAUGUAAAAUCUUAUAUGCUCUUUAUGAUUUACGUGUAUUUCCUACUUAUUACAAUGGUUUUAAACUUCAUAUAUGAGCUAACAUGAGAUAUACUGAUAAGUUCUCUAGAAUUAUCUCUUGAUUGCACCUAGGGUGCCAUUAAGCUCUCUUAAGCUUGCCAUAUCAACGCUCUAUGCUAACUCCAACGAGCUUUAUUGAGUUAUCUAAGUUAUUCCAAAUUCAAAAUAUUUUAGUUCACCUUUGAGAUCACAUCAGCUAUAUCUUUUGCCCCAAAUGUUAAAAAAAACAAAAAAACCUAUCUCUGCUAGCCCAAUCUCUCCAUAAAUAUAAAUUUAUUUAUUUAAAUCAAAUUUGACUUUGAUCUGGUAAGAACAACCAAUAAAUAAUUCAAAUCAAAUUUUAGUCAAAAUCUGGUGAGAACUUGAAUAUUUUUAUAUACAUAUACCUUCUUUUAUAUGAUGUUGUCUUGAAGCUGAAGCUAGGUUAGCAGAAGUAGUAGUACUAGUACUAGUGCUUCUCAUGGGCGGAUAGAAAAUGCAGAAAUUAUAUUUUGAACUAUAUAUGUUCAAUAAAAGGGAAAAAACUCAAUAUGGUGUGCUAACCACUAAGGGAAGCAUUCAUUAGGCACGCAAAUAUACAAUAGGCGUCUUUUCUUAUAGGAAAAGCAUCAAUUUUUAUCAUCAUCUCAUCAAACACUAGCAUUGCUAUAAUUCCUAUUCAGGGUCCCCCAAUGCCUGUUACGGAGACUUGAUUGAGAGAAACCUCCACAGUUUACAAGAGUUUGCAGCUACUGAACAUCCCCAUCUGUCCCAAAAACAUAAGCACCUGCAAUAUCCAAAAUUUGUCAAUACAUUUGUAUCAAGAAACAGUAAACAAUUAAUGUCGCGGUAAGAUUAUUUACCAAGUGUAGGCAUUAGAAAGGCCAGAGCAGCAAUGCCAGCAAUCUUAAGGGGCAGCCCUGUCUUGAUCAUAUCUUGAAUUUCGAUGUGCCCGGUUGUGAAUCCAACAAUAUUUGAAGGGGUUCCAGUCGGCAACAAGAAAGAAAAUUGUGCUCCAAUUGCUCCAGGAACCAUAAGAAGCAAUGGAUGAACAUGCAUAGUUUUUGCUAUUUGGAUCAGAAGUGGAAGAACGAGAGUUGUUGUGGCAUUAUUUGAUGUGAAUUCAGUAAUAAUCGCGCUAAUCAGACAUACGAUAGGUGCAAUGGCUAAAUAUGGCGCCGCCUCCAGGAAAUCCAAUGCUUUUGACAGAUCAUCAGCAAGACCGCUAGUCCUGACUCCAUCAGCUAUAGCAAAGCCAGCCCCUAAAAGCAAUAUAAUGUUCCAAGGUAGCUUCUUGCAUUUGUUCCAAUCCAUCAAUUUUUCUCCCUUUUGCUUCAUGCUCGGAAUUAUGAACAACAAUGUUGCCAUCACAACCUAUAUUUGUGUGUGUGUGUGUGUGUGUGUGUGUAUACAUAUGUAUUAAUAAUUCAGUUAAAAAUCAUCCAAAAGCUUGAUUAAACAUGUCUCAUUUAAUUAUGUUCUCAAAUGAUAAACAAAAGACCAAAGAGUACUCACACUAGCAGUUCCAUCACCAGCACGGUCAUUGAAGAGUGCUCCCCAACCUGGAAUGUCAUCUGUUAUUGAUCUUGUCAUCCACAAUGCUAUUAGCAUCUGCAUCAUUUAUCUUAAAUUAACUUGAAGACAUUUCCAAUAACAUUAUGCACAUCACUUAAAAGGGGAGAAAAAAAAAAAUUACAGCUCAGCUCACCCCAAAUACAGCUAGUACCAUCUUUUCAGCAAAAGCCAUUGGACCUGCCAAGAAAAACACCAAACAAUAGAAUUAAGCCACUGAACAUUAAUUAGCUGUAGCUGUCAUUAAUUGGACAGACAGCAGGGUCUUACCUAACAUGUCAAGCUCUCUCUUGAGAUUUGCUUUGUCCAAAUACUCGGAGAGAGCAGGUCCAGAUCCCCUUGAACAAUAGAACAAGCACAAAAUAGCCCACAAAGCAACGAAAAUCACUAAAGCCAAAGGGAACCCAAAACAGAACCAGGUACUGAAGCUGAUCGGGUUUGCUUCUGGAAAAUAGGUCUUCCACAUCCCGACCAAUAUUAGAUUAACACCUGUUCCAGUAAGUGUGCUCAUCCCUCCUACGGCUGCAGAGUAGAUGACCCCGAGCACCACAGCUUUGCAAUACUUCCUAACAAGGGUUGAUUGAAGAGGAACCUCUGGCAAGUUCUGUAAGAUCCCAGUGGCCACUGGCAUCAUGAUCACUGCUGCUGCCACGUUAUGCAUCCACAUGCUCACGAAUGCUGUCGUGCCACAUAUCCCAAGAAGCAGCAAGGGCGGAUUCAUUGGCUCUCCACAGAAUAGAAUAGUUAUCUGUAGUUAUUAAUAUAUAUAUGGUAUAGGAUUGUCCAUACAUAAUUAAUUCAUCUUUUGUCACUGAUAAUUUUUCUGAAAAAGAAAUCGUAACAAUUAAUGACAUGAUGAUGAUGAUGCAUUACGGGAACUUACAUUUAAGGCCAAUCUUUUGUGAAUGUUGUAGUGCUCAACGGCAAGAGCAAGAAUAAAGCUACCAAGAACGAGGGCAAUAACAUCAUCCAUGUAAGAAUGAGCAACGGUGUCAGCAGAAGAGAUACCAAACAGAGGAAACAGAAACAGAGGCGCCAUAGAGGUAAUGGGCAUGGGUACGGCCUCCGUGAGCCACCAAGCGAAGACCCAAGCAAGAACACCCAACAUGUUCCUGCUUGUCGCCUGCCCAUCGAGCUUCACACAUACACAUAUAACAGCGCACAGGAGAGGUCCUAGGAGGAUGUAGAAAUUGUUUGGUGUGAAAAUGGUUUUCAAUGUGAAGUGGGAGCUUGGUGACCGUUGGAUUUGACGAUGGGAAGGUAGGAGUGGCGCCUUGAUGUCACCAGAAUUUGGAUGAGCUUCGUGGUCACCGUUCAUUUUGCAGUGAACGUGUAACACGAUACGAGAGAAAAUUGAAGGUGUCGUUCGAAAGUGGAGGUUGCUGCAUGCCUUGGCCUUUUUAUAUGAAAAAUGUGAAGAGGAGGUGGAAGUAGACAACUUCUCUUUACCAUGACCCAACGACAGACGGCCAAGUGGGCACCAAACCUCCCCGAUUUUAACUGAAAAUAUACUCCUGCGUUGUAAGAAUUGAACAAGUCGUGUAUCUUACCGUGGACCGAUGUGAUAUUUGAAUUAAAAUAUUCUUACCGUGUAAGAAUAUACUCAAAAUAAUAUUUUUUAGUUGAACUUUUUCCUUUUAGAUAAGUCUAAAACGAUGUUGUUUCAAAUGUGUUUUUAUCCAUGCUUCGAUUCAUUAUCUGAAAAAUAAAACUAAAAAAUCUGAAUCAGACUGCCCCAACUUCAAAUUCAUUAUCCACUCACUACAUGACUCGUAACCUCAUCAUAUCUGAAUAUAUACAUGUAUAUAUACACACACACAUGCCCCAGAUCUACUGGACUUGAAAAUGAUGUAUUUUUUACAGGUGGGCAAAAUUUAAUUUACAAAUUUGCAUGAUGAUGAAGCUUCCGUGUCAGCUUCGUUAAGUGGUAAUCAAGAGCGUACUGGGGUUUCCGAUAAAUCAUGAUAUUGUAUAUUUGUAUGCAAUCAUCAAUCGGGGUCCGAGGAUUGAGGUUCGUAAUUAAUUAAUAAAUAAAAUGAAAAGAGAGAACCUCAACACCACAAGCUAAUCCAAUUAUUGCUCGACUAUCCAUCACAAUAAUUUGAAAACCCUGUUCAUAGUUCCACGUGUCGGACGAUGUUUUUCGCAAUAAUGCAACGUUUGGCACAAAACGUGGGCUCAGGGGUCCACCCCGAAAUUGACCUGUUGGGUCAUAUGUCUUGUCUUUCACCAAUCGUUAAAAAGCACAAAAAAAAAAAAACAAAAAAAAAAUCUAGGAUUCCCUCCCUCUCCGGAACUCUCUUAAACUUUUAACAAUUUUAUAUUGGGUCCUUCUAUCUUACAUGCAUGUAAGAUACAUUCCUCUCAUAUGAAUAGUGUGUGGAUCCCACACAUGCACUAUUCAUGUGAGGGGGAUGUAUCUUACAUGCAUGUAAGAUAGGAUUUGCCUUUUAUAUUUUAUACGAUGUAAUAAUAGUAUACAAAUAGAAUUGAGCUUCUUUAUUUAUUUAUUUAAUACUGAUUACACACUAAAUUAUUAUAUUACACAAAUAUUUAUAAUUACUAUUAAAUAUUACAUUGAUAUUUACAAUCAGAUAUAUAUAACUGAGACUUAUAUAUGAUUACAUUAAAUUCUAUGAAAUAUAUGUCCAGAUAAAUUAUUCUUACAGAUAAGAGAUGUCCUACUUCACUUAUAUUUCAUAAAGAAAAAAAAGUUAUAAAUAUUUAGAUCCCACAAUAUUUUCGUGGGGGCUUGUGAGGUCAGCAACCCACCACUUCGACCAAAGCUGAAGUGGCAGCUUCUUUAUUUUUAAAAUUACUAACUAAUCAAUAGAUAAAUUUUCAGUCAAGAGUGCUCAAUUGAAAUUUAGAUUGCGCGAAAAUCUUUAUUCAAAAUAAGGUGGCGGUGAAUACUUUUUUUUUUUUUUUCUUUUUUGGGAAUGAAAAUUUACAUUUUGUUUUCUUAGAAUUUGCACAUUUUGUAGCGGAUCUAGUUUUCCACGUACAAGACAAUCCCAGGGUUUGCAUUUUUUAAAAACUUGAAUUAAUAUGAAAUUUAAAUAGGCGUGAAUGAUAUAUUAAAUAUAUGAAAAUACUUAUACAUACAUAAAAGAACCCACCCACGUAAAAAACUAGUAAUAGUAAAUGAAGAAUAAGAUCCUAAGCUAUGUCCAUUUUUAUCCAAUUUAAUUUUUUUUCCCACUCGUAUGCAGGAAAAGAAACUGCACACAAACCUGGUCGUCUAAUUUAGAGAGUACGUCAACACAGGCAACUCAAAGAAAAAGAACAAUUAGAGUUCGAGAGUUUGGAGUCGAUACUCCUCCAUAGGCGGCCGCUCGAUUAAUGCCAGCUACAAGUUACCUCUUUCAUUUUUAUUUUUCCUUUUCAAGUAUUUUAAGUAGACUUUAAUUUUACUAAAAAAUUAAGAGAAAUGCUCUAAUGUAUGACGUAAUGAUGGGUAUGCACAUGCAUGCAUGCAUAUAUAAUUUUUUUUUAGUAAUGAUAUAGCCACAAACUCUUGUACAAACUUAUUUUGUACAAACUGAUGUGGCAUGAUAAAAUUAGUUGAAUUAAAAAUCUUUUGGCCCACAUGAUUUAUUUAUAUUAUUUUAUAUUUUCAUUCAACCAAUGAAUUAAUGCCACAUCAAUUUGUACAAGAUACGUUUAUACAAGAGUUUGUGGCUGUAUCAUCACUCAUGUUUUUUUAUUACAUGAGACCAAUGCUUAUGAUUACAAUUCAUAUUACAUGAAAUUAUUUAUUGAUAUAUUUAUAAUCAAACAAUUACUGAGAUAAAGAUUGACUUUUUAUCCUCCUAAAUAUUUAAAGAAUUUUUUAUUUCAGUCUCAUUUUAAAAGAGAAAAUAUUAUCUUCACACAAUUAUCAUUUAAAAAGUAAAUUUUAGAUCCAACAAUACUUUAGUGCAGGGGCAGCAGCCCUGCCCCCGACUGCAUGCAUAUAUAAUUUAAGAAACAAUAUAUUCCCCUGAUUUGAGCACUACUGAAUUUUUAAUCUUAAUAUAUAAAUAAAAUUUAAUUUCUUUUAUUUUUUUAUUUAUUAACAAUUAAUCAAUUAUCAUAUUCUUUCCUUAUCUAUAAUUUUUUUUUUUUUUUUGAAAGGAAGAAAUUUCAUUAAGCAAAACUUACAAACUGUUUAACAACCACAGAGGUGGAACAACAUUCCACUCCUGGGGACCUGACAAAGAACCUGUUGCCCUCGCAACGGAGUGAGCAGCAAGAUUCGCAGAUCGACACACAAAGGAGAAUUGCACUUCUCCGAUAAACUUAACUAAAGCUUGACAGUCUUCAAUAAUCAAACCAAACCCAUUUGGACUUGAAAACUGUUCAACCAAAGCUCAGAACACUUGUAGGCAGUCCAUCUCUAUGAUAACACAUGGAAUCUGCAGUUCUUUCAUCCAACUAAGAGCCUCUCUUAUGCCAAGAGCUUCAGCCUCCCUUGCUCCAAAAAUUCCUGCCACACUCACACACCUUGCUGCCACAAAACCUCCUUGUGAAUUACGAAUCACACAACCGAUCCCAAUCUUCCCUUGAGACUCAAACACAGCUGCAUCCACAUUGCACUUUACCCACCCAAACUUAGGUUGCUCCCAACACAAUGCCCCAUGAACCAAUCUGUGAGUAUCAUCAUUAACAUCAAAUACUUGCUGUUUUGCCGCUUGCCACUGAUAGAGAAACUGUCCAGCAGAGUUGAGAAUUUGACAAACUGAGCUGGUAGUGUUGUUCCAAACUUUGUUGUUUCGAUUUACCCAAAUCCGCCAACAAAUCAUCAUAGCAGUAUUACACUCAUCUUUACUGCACCUUGUAAAAACGUGAGCGAGCCAGUCCAAAAAAUUAGAGCAAUAGCCAACAAAACCCACCGAUGAAGAAGUCCAACAAGACUUAGCAAAACUGCAGGCAACCAAGGAGUGUAAAACUGUUUCUUCAUAGGCAUUACAUACAGAACACAUAGCUGGAACAUCCACCCUUUUGGAAAUUAAAUUGAGUGCUGUAGGCAACACGUUGUGUGCAGCUCUCCAAAUAAAAUUCUUAACCUUGUUCGGCACUUUCGAGUUCCACAAUUUCCUCCACACAUCCGCUAAGGAACCAGGAGUGAUAGGAUUUAAAACCUUAUAGCAACUGCGAACUGAAUAACAUCCCCGGGAAUCCGCCAUCCAAUACCACACAUCAUCUUCGCGGCGGGAACUAAGAGGAAUCUUCAGAAUCAACUCCUUAUCUCUUGAAUUGAAGAUGUCCGAAACAACAUUAUAGUCCCAAGCUCGUUGGUGAGGCAUCAUUAAGCUGCUGACAGGAGCUGCAGCUAUCUCCUCAUUAAGAUUUGUAGAAACACACCCAUCUUGGAGGUCUGGAAGCCAAGGAUCUUUACCAAUGGAUAUCGAAUGACCACUGCCAACCUGCACUCUACUCCCUUGGACCACCACUUCCUUUGCAGCCAGAAUGGAACGCCAUACAUAGCUGGGAUUAUGCCCCAACGAAGCUCGAACUACAGAAGUUCGCGGAUAGUAACGAGCUUUAAGAAUUCUCGCCAUUAGAGAAUCAGGGCAGGUUAAUAACUUCCACAUCUGCCUUCCUAACAUCGCAAUGUUAAAUAAAUAAAGUUGCUUGAACCCAAGUCCACCACACCCCUUUGGUUUGCACAAGUAUUUCCAUCCUUAUCUAUAAUUUAAACGACUAUGACUGAGACAUAAUUUUCUCGAUUUUUUCCUUACAAUUAUUGUCUGCCCUCAUCAUACUCUAUCCUAUAAUCUGCCACGUAAUUGCUAAUAUCGCCGUCCUGGACAAGUGGAUGGUAGUUUAUUAGUUAAUGUUCCUAUAUUCUAGGUGUCGUUGCAUUUUUAAAAUUGCGGUUGGCGGUAGCCAUUUGAUUUGCUCGUCUGGUUGUCCAAUCGUCAAUCAAUUCACCUUUUCCAAGACUCUGUGAACGAGGUGUUGCGUGCCUUGGCCUCUUGGCGCUUCAAAACUCCCAA